UGCCAUUUUGUAUUUCUUUGUUAUUUUAGGUUGAAAAAAUGUGGAUGACCAAUUAUAGGAAACGAUCAGCUGCAAAUGCAUUUAUUGUAAAUGGCGUGUUAUAUACUUUGCACCGAUAUGAUUCACCACAAACAAUGCUAAACUAUGCAUUUGAUACAACAACAUCUACUUUUUUUUGGCCGAAAAUUCCGUUCGAAAUCAAGUUUGGAUCAGUUUCAAGUCUCGAUUAUGACCACAGAAUGCAGAAGCUAUACGUAUGGGACCGUGGUCACCAGUUAUCUUAUGACGUCACAUUUAAAUGAAGGACAUGAGCGGCAGCAUAAAAAUAAAGAUAUGGAUUUGUCGAUCCUGAGGGCAUUGAAGCAAAAGCGUGCCCCGUGGUUGGCCUCGAACGUUCAACUUGUUUUAAGAGAAAGUUACGUUUCGAAAAUUUAAACUGUGAGUGCGGCUAGUUAGUAAUUCCAUUUUUUGUCAAUUUAUAGUAAUUUUAUUACUUUGAUAAAAAAUGCGCAAAGCGUAAUUAAAACAAUAUUUCUGUUAUGCUUAUGAAAAUUUUUGCAAUGUGUUGAAAAUCAGACCGAACUGAUAAAAACUCCGAGGACCAUUUUUAGUUGGGUGCUUUCAGUCCGAGUUUUUAGUAAAAUAACAAUGGCAAAGGUACGUCCGUGCAUAAUAAUGAAAGUUGGGGAAAACAAGACGCUUAACAAAAAAUAACAUCGCGUAGAAAUAAAUAAAAAUAUAUUUCGAAACAUAUGUAUUUUAUUCUGUCCACUUUUACUUUAUUUUUCAUAUAUUAUAAAAAAAAACAGAUCAAUGAUAAAUUUGUUAUUUUUUCUUACUGUGAUUGCUUGCUUUUGCCGCUGAUACGUGACAAAAUGCGAUUCGUGUGGUGAAUUAAAUAUUGAAAUUUUCUUGA
Styela clava is the source of this 916-nucleotide non-coding RNA. The record is from RefSeq and is a predicted model, not a curated record. Lineage: Eukaryota; Metazoa; Chordata; Ascidiacea; Stolidobranchia; Styelidae.